Molecule: ribosomal RNA, 249 nt
Filed under: uncultured bacterium
Lineage: Bacteria
Description: partial 16S ribosomal RNA
Rfam family: Bacterial small subunit ribosomal RNA
Source: RNAcentral
UACGAAGGUGGCGAGCGUUGUUCGGAUUCACUGGGCGUACAGGGAGCGUAGGCGGUUUGGGUAAGCCCUCCGUGAAAUACUCCGGGCCGUAACCCGAACGUAGCAGAGGGACGUGCUCGGCUAGAGGAUGGGAGAGGAGCGCGGAAUUCCCGGUGUAGCGGUGAAAUGCGUAGAGAUCGGGAGGAAGGCCGGUGGCGAAGGCGGCGCUCUGGAACAUUUCUGACGCUGAGGCUCGAAAGCGUGGGGAGC